AGACAGACUAUGAAGAGAUACAUAGGGUGAGAAACGGAGGCCUUCAGCCAACAGCUGGGAGAAGCUGAGUCCCAUCAGCCAUUCAAAAGACUGCAGCCCCAGCCAAGAGUUUGAUGUAACCUCAGGAGAGACCCUGAGCCAGAACCACCUAGAAAUCUCCAAGUGAGAAGACCUUACUUGUCUUCUGAAAGUCUGGCCAACGAGCUAUACCUAGUGAUUCCAAAGUCCACAUAUAUUUACUCUGUUCUCACUGUACAAAGUAACCACUCUGAAGUCAAAAAAGCUGGGAUACAUGAAGACUGCCAUCCCUUGAGUCACUUGCCCUGUAGCUGCCACUGUUGGAAAAGGGCUUGCUUCUGUGUCCUUGUGCCCACUUUGAAAAUCCCUGGGAAGUCCUUGGAGUCAGAUGAGCAGGCCUCCGCCACUCUGCCAAAAAGUCUGUUCAGGUAUUUUUCCUCUGGAAAUGAGCUGACUAGGCACGCUACUUCUACUUGAAAAAGACUGAUGCUUGUCUUACACCAUUUUGAGGUCACCACAGUACAUGACUCAGAAUCAUUAGACAAAUGUUGAUUGAAUAUCUCCUACAUUCCAAAUACUGUGUUGAAUGUGGUUAAAGCAUUAAAUGUUAAUGGAAUAUUUUGUACAGUCAAGAAGUGAUUGCUGUCAUAGAAGAGACACAACACACUGGUAGAACACAGCAAUGAAAUUUGACUUGUGAUGUAUGUCCAGAAAAAGAUAGAUAACACAUUCUCUAAAAGUUUAGAAGAAAUUUUUGUCCCUUGGAUUGUAGUCUUGACUGAUUAAGAAACAGAACAACUUAGUUGAAUACUGAGCAUUGAUUCGCAAUCUAAUGGUGCCUGGGGAUGCCACCUGUUUUCUCGCAAUUAAAAUUUAAAAACAAAAUUAUACAAAGAGCAAUUGGAGUUUAAAACAACUGUAAAGAAAACAAUUAGAACAAAAAUCCAUUAAAUUGAAAAUAGUAAAACAAAGGGAAAAUGAACAUAAUAAAAAACUGUUUUUAUCAAAAGACUAAUAAACAAUUUUGAUUGAAGACACAGGUUACCAACAUCAGAAAUGAAAGAGGAGAUGAUCACCAAUCAUCCUGAGACAUUAAAGGAUAAAAACAGAAUACUAUUUGUAACUCUAUGCCUACAAACUUGACAACUUUCAUGAAAUGGACCAAUUCUAUGAAAGGUACAAACUACCAAAAUUCCCAAGGAGAUAUAACUAAUUUGAAUAAACCUAUUUAUGUUAAUAAAA
Molecule: long non-coding RNA, 1260 nt
Organism: Homo sapiens (human)
Lineage: Eukaryota; Metazoa; Chordata; Mammalia; Primates; Hominidae
Source: Ensembl